UACGUAGGUGGCAAGCGUUGUCCGGAUUUAUUGGGUUUAAAGGGUGCGUAGGCGGUUUUGUAAGUCAGUGGUGAAAUAUGUCAGCUUAACUGAGAGGGUGCCAUUGAUACUGCAGAACUUGAGUACAGAUGAGGUAGGCGGAAUUGACGGUGUAGCGGUGAAAUGCUUAGAUAACGUCAAGAACACCUAUAGCGAAGGCAGCUUACUAGGCUGUAACUGACGCUGAGGCACGAAAGUGUGGGGAUCAAACAGG
This 253-nucleotide ribosomal RNA is filed under the name uncultured bacterium. Its description in RNAcentral is "partial 16S ribosomal RNA". It matches the Rfam family "Bacterial small subunit ribosomal RNA", at positions 524 to 776 of the family's 1533-position model. The record is from RNAcentral.